AAGCUGCCAGCUGAAGAACUGU
This 22-nucleotide non-coding RNA is filed under the name Danio rerio (zebrafish). Its record names the gene dre-miR-22a-3p. The record is from miRBase by way of RNAcentral. RNAcentral also lists the same sequence under 16 other names. Lineage: Eukaryota; Metazoa; Chordata; Actinopteri; Cypriniformes; Danionidae.